RNAcentral lists this long non-coding RNA (1015 nucleotides) under Bemisia tabaci. RNAcentral describes it as "lncRNA ENSSSA3NGG000969". The record is from RNAcentral. Lineage: Eukaryota; Metazoa; Arthropoda; Insecta; Hemiptera; Aleyrodidae.
CGAGAACCUCUCAUUCAGGGAAUUCCAAGUCUUUUAAAGUGUAAAACUCGGUCUGAUUGACCUUUCUAAUAACCAUUGUUUUCCCUGCAUUCGAGCAAAAAUGUCGUGGCAUUUUCGCGGUUUUAAGUGCGGAAUUUACUCUAACGCGUUGCAUGCUAUUUGUCUUAUCGAAGGAGUACGUGUUGUGAAUUUCAUCUUGACACCCUGUUAGUGAUUUGCAAGUCCUGAUAAGUAGUGCUAAUUAUAAGUAAUGAACAACGAAGUGAGAUAGGUAUAUGGAAAUAGAUCGAUAAUUGUUUCCCAACUUCGCCUCCAACCGCGCGGUUUCCUACGAUGUGAUUAUUUUUUUUAUUUUUUUUAAAAAAAAAAUCUCUACAGAUGCUCUGUAAUGGCGAGUCCGAAAUUUUAUCGUGUCCUGUUCUGUCUGAAAUUAUAUCCAGGUGCAAUUCUAAUGCGUUCAAAAUGAGUUACUUACGGGAAAAUACUUGACGUGUGUUUUUAAGCACUAUACAAGUGAAAUUCAAUUCACGAGCGCGUUUUAUCAUUUUUCAAUGAAGAUUCUUGAAUAUCGACCAUGUUCAUCCAUAAAUCCAAAGGCAAUCAUAACAAUAAGAAUGAAGAAUCCAGCGACAAUGAAUCUGAAGAAGAUACCGGCGAUUUGUUACAGAGGCGCAGAGAAGAAUGCGAGCGAAAAGCGAGGAGGGGGGAGAUGGACCCCCGGCUGGAGUUCACCUUCCAGCUCCUCAUGGACGGCACCGGUCUUCCUCGAUCCGACAUAAUGGAUCACGUGUUCGAUGGAAAUAUGCUGGAUGAGAUAAAUCAAUUAUUCUUACCACAUAUGAGGAACAAGUUACUAUGGUUCUAUCAGGAAGUUGAGGAGUGCGAAUCACCACCACCUGUAGACACGACAAAAUCUCAAUCAAACAGGCUAGCCUCAGUGCUCCCCAAAUUGCAGGGGUCAGCAGUUGCAGCUCACCCGAAAAGAAACUUUUUUGACCGAUGGCUGGCAAGUUGA